RNAcentral lists this ribosomal RNA (253 nucleotides) under uncultured bacterium. RNAcentral describes it as "partial 16S ribosomal RNA". It matches the Rfam family "Bacterial small subunit ribosomal RNA", at positions 524 to 776 of the family's 1533-position model. The record is from RNAcentral.
UACGGAGGGGGCUAGCGUUGUUCGGAAUUCCUGGGCGUAAAGCGCACGUAGGCGGCUUUGCAAGUCAGAGGUGAAAGCCCGGGGCUCAACCCCGGAAUUGCCUUUGAGACUGCAUCGCUAGAAUUGUGGAGAGGUAAGUGGAAUUCCGAGUGUAGAGGUGAAAUUCGUAGAUAUUCGGAAGAACACCAGUGGCGAAGGCGACUUACUGGACACAUAUUGACGCUGAGGUGCGAAAGCGUAGGGAGCAAACAGG